RNAcentral lists this ribosomal RNA (234 nucleotides) under uncultured bacterium. Its description in RNAcentral is "partial 16S ribosomal RNA". It matches the Rfam family "Bacterial small subunit ribosomal RNA", at positions 1258 to 1500 of the family's 1533-position model. The record is from RNAcentral.
CAACAUCGGUCCAAUCCUUAAAGUCAUCCUCAGUUCGGACNGGGGUCUGCAACCCGACCCCACGAAGCUGGAUUCGCUAGUAAUCGCGCAUCAGCCAUGGCGCGGUGAAUACGUUCCCGGGCCUUGUACACACCGCCCGUCAAGCCAUGAAAGCCGGGGGCGCCUGAAGUCCGUGACCGCGAGGGUCGGCCUAGGGUGAAACCGGUGAUUGGGGCUAAGUCGUAACAAGGUAUC